AUCCAGCUGACGAGUCCUAAACAGGACGAAACGCGCGUCCUGAAU
Schistosoma mattheei is the source of this 45-nucleotide non-coding RNA. The record is from Rfam. Lineage: Eukaryota; Metazoa; Platyhelminthes; Trematoda; Strigeidida; Schistosomatidae.